GACGAACGCUGGCGGCGUGCCUAAUACAUGCAAGUCGAGCGGACCAAAGGGAGCUUGCUCCUGGAGGUUAGCGGCGAACGGGUGAGUAACACGUGGGCAACCUGCCUGUAAGACUGGGAUAACAUCGAGAAAUCGGUGCUAAUACCGGAUAAUAAAAAGAACUGCAUGGUUCUUUUUUGAAAGAUGGUUUCGGCUAUCACUUACAGAUGGGCCCGCGGCGCAUUAGCUAGUUGGUGAGGUAACGGCUCACCAAGGCGACGAUGCGUAGCCGACCUGAGAGGGUGAUCGGCCACACUGGGACUGAGACACGGCCCAGACUCCUACGGGAGGCAGCAGUAGGGAAUCUUCCGCAAUGGACGAAAGUCUGACGGAGCAACGCCGCGUGAGUGAUGAAGGUUUUCGGAUCGUAAAACUCUGUUGUUAGGGAAGAACAAGUGCCGUUCGAAAGGGCGUCACCUUGACGGUACCUAACGAGAAAGCCACGGCUAACUACGUGCCAGCAGCCGCGGUAA
RNAcentral lists this ribosomal RNA (512 nucleotides) under uncultured bacterium. Its description in RNAcentral is "bacterial SSU rRNA". It matches the Rfam family "Bacterial small subunit ribosomal RNA", at positions 28 to 523 of the family's 1533-position model. The record is from RNAcentral.